This 69-nucleotide small RNA is filed under the name Flavobacterium sp. 1. RNAcentral describes it as "Flavo-1 RNA". The record is from RNAcentral. Lineage: Bacteria; Pseudomonadati; Bacteroidota; Flavobacteriia; Flavobacteriales; Flavobacteriaceae.
UUUUAGAAUUGUAGAAGAAUACCUAACAGGUUUUGGAAACCUGUUAGGAUGAAACAAACAAAAUUCACU